This 48-nucleotide non-coding RNA is filed under the name Trichobilharzia regenti. Lineage: Eukaryota; Metazoa; Platyhelminthes; Trematoda; Strigeidida; Schistosomatidae. The record is from RNAcentral.
AUCUAGCUGAUGACUCUCAAAUAGGACGAAAUGCGCAUCAAGCUGGAU